Molecule: ribosomal RNA, 78 nt
Filed under: Pseudomonas aeruginosa
Lineage: Bacteria; Pseudomonadati; Pseudomonadota; Gammaproteobacteria; Pseudomonadales; Pseudomonadaceae
Source: RNAcentral
CUUGACGAUCAUAGAGCGUUGGAACCACCUGAUCCCUUCCCGAACUCAGAAGUGAAACGACGCAUCGCCGAUGGUAGU